RNAcentral lists this long non-coding RNA (2099 nucleotides) under Homo sapiens (human). RNAcentral's name for it is "HSALNT0204133". Lineage: Eukaryota; Metazoa; Chordata; Mammalia; Primates; Hominidae. The record is from RNAcentral.
UUACAUUUAUCUUUUAAAAGUGCAACAUUUUAUUUGCAAAACUGAGGAUGACACAAAUGAUACUUGCAAACCCUGUGAAUGGGUUACACUGACCUCUAGGUCUAAUAUCAAAUAUACAGCAUAUUUUAAUAUAGAUUCCCUAAAAAAAUUUAAAUUCAGCAACAACUCCUUAGCAUAUCAUAUUUCAGUCCUUUCUCUCAAAUAGUAAAAUUAUCUUUUCUUCAACUCAUCAGGUGACAUUGACACCUCACUCUCACCCUGACUCCCACCAUUAUCCUAGAGGAUUUUAGCUUUCAUGGUGAUAAUUCAACAGAUCCAACAACUAUUUACCUGGUGUCUAUUGUAUGCUGAGUACUGUUUUAUAAGUUAUGGAUAUGGUAGCCAAAUAAGAUAGUUUUAAGGUCUUGCUUUUGAGGAGUUCCUGAUCUGGUGUGGGCUACAGCAAAGAAAUAAGCAAACAAAUAACAUAGUUUCAGAGAGUGAUAAGCACUAGGGGAAAAAAAAAGCAGAAUAAAGGCAAAGAUAAUAAUGAAGGAGGGAUUCCAUUUUUUACAGAGACAAACAGGUGACAUUUGAGCUUGACCUGCGUAAGAUGGAGAAGGUGUGUGGAAUUCUGGGCAGACAAGAGCAAGUGUAACAGCCUGAAAUAGGAAUAAGCAUGUCAUUUUUAAGAAAUGGCAAGAAGGCCAGGAAAGAGGAGGAGAUUGUUAUGGCAAAGGUGGAAGAGGCAGGCAGGGUCAGAUCAUGGGGGCCUGUGUAGGCCAGAGUCCUAAUGGAAAUGACAAGUCUUUGAAUGUUUAUAGCAAAGAAGUAAUGCAAACUGAUUUGUGUUUUAUAAAGCUCAGUUUGUCUGAUGUGUAGAGAAUUGAUUCUAAUAGGUAUGAGUGAUAGUCAAGUGUAUAAGGCUAGUGGUGGUGAUCCUGGUGACGGAAGAUGGUGGUAUGAAUAAGCUGCUGGGAUGGAAGAUGUGAGUAACAGCCUAAAAUAGAAGGCAUUUCAGCUGUGUUUAAUAGUUUGAGUAGGAGAGUAGAGGUCAGAGGAUUAGAUUAAUCUGAAGGUGGAGGGAAGUUGUUUUAAGGACAGACAUAAGGAAGAAAAUGGAUUGAGAGAUUUGUGGGUGCCCAGGAAGAAAGAUUGAAAUGAAAGACCAGUGUUCAGGAAGGGAACAAAACAAAAGUUAAACCAGAAUGGGCUGAUCGAUUAGGAACAAUUGAUGGGAACAAAAUUCAUAGAAUUAAAAGAAUUGAUGCAGAUGAAUAGCAAACACAAUAAUAGCAAAGGAUAGUAGGUUAUAGGCAGAGCAUGGAGUAUUGUGAUUUGAUUUUAGAGGUGCAGCAAUUCUGAGUUGCUCAUUCCAGUCUGUUAUUUGUAAGCAUCCAUCCUCACUCUGUGAGUUGUACAGUAGCUUAUGUAGAAAUAAUGAUCAACUAGAUGCCCAUGGGUGGCCAUUUUGUACCUCCUCACUUGUCAGGCUUCCCUCCUCACUCCUCAGUUUUAUACUCCUGAUCUGAUUUAGUUCUGUUGGUUAACUCAUCAUCCAUUUGUGUUUCCAAUCUAAACAUCAUCAGUUUGAUGGCUGGUUAAUUUCCUUCUAAGGAACCUAAGUCUCCUUAUUAACUAUCGCUUUCUUCUUUUCUCUAUGACUCUCUGAAUAACCUUGAGGAUAGUAUCUUCAUGUUUUCAUCUAACCUCUGUACCUCUCAUCCUUAGGUUUUCCCCAGUGGACGUACCUCAUCUCUCCAAUAGGACUCACAACUGGAUAACCACAGGGUGUAGGGUGUGGCUACAGUGGUGUGUUUUAGAUGUGGGUUGAAGUUGAAAGCCACUAGAGGACAAGAAGACAAGAAAGUAUUGAGCUAGAAGAUUGGAUGAAAUUGAUUUUCAGGUUAAAACUACAUAAAAGUGGCUCCCCCCAACACUGCUUCUCAAUCUUACAAUCUUUCACUGGAAUGUUAACUUUCUUUCUUAUCAAGAUAAUUUUGUACAUUUCUCUUUUUGAGCCUUCAACUCCUCUUCUUUUGAUUCUCAGCUAAUAAUUCACAUAUUAUGUCACAGAGAAAAAUAGAAAAUCAAAGAGAACUAGCUCAUCUUACCACCAG